UCUAAUAUGGCAGAUUAGUGCAUUGAAUUUAAGCUUCAUUUAUAAAUAUUAUUAUUUUGUUAGAA
RNAcentral lists this transfer RNA (65 nucleotides) under Atkinsoniella wui. RNAcentral describes it as "tRNA-Leu". Lineage: Eukaryota; Metazoa; Arthropoda; Insecta; Hemiptera; Cicadellidae. The record is from RNAcentral.